Molecule: long non-coding RNA, 531 nt
Organism: Neogale vison (American mink)
Lineage: Eukaryota; Metazoa; Chordata; Mammalia; Carnivora; Mustelidae
Exons: 3
Source: RefSeq, a predicted model, not a curated record
GUACAAAGGCGUCAUGUUCAGUUAGAGUGAAAUUCAUUCAGCCUUUGUCCCGCAAAUGUUUCCUGCAGGCCUGUGUCGCGUCAGGCUCUGCGGGCUCCCAAAAGGCCAGGAUUCCCUGGGGGACUCGGACCCACGUGGCCGAUGGGCACCUCGGGCCUGUGUGCUGCCUGUGGGCGUCUCUGCUCCGCACAAAAUGGUGGCGUGACUGCGAGCCCGCCAGCGUGGACUUCUAGGAAGGAGAACGAAGUACAACAGUAAUCUCAAGAAGAAGAAUCCACAUUCAAAGUCCAGAAAGCAACAGGACAAAGUUACCGUCCGGAAAGUCAUCCAAACAGACCAAUGAGCCGAACCUGUGCUCGCCGGCGUUGCCGGACUCCGGGCAGCACCCGACCUGGACCCAUCGGGUUUCCUUCUGGCUCAUGGUGCGAUCCGGUGUACUCACAUUGUGCUCUAAUAUAGCAAUUUAAAAUGAGAGAUUAAGAAAGAGGGGGGCACCUGGGUGGCUCAGUGGGUUAAAGCCGCUGCCUCCGG